Molecule: long non-coding RNA, 1058 nt
Organism: Acanthopagrus latus (yellowfin seabream)
Lineage: Eukaryota; Metazoa; Chordata; Actinopteri; Spariformes; Sparidae
Exons: 3
Source: RefSeq, a predicted model, not a curated record
GCAGCUGCUUGUUCACCUGUAGUGGUCGUGGUCGCCCUCUCAGGUCGCAUUGUUGCUUUGCGUUGGUCACAUUAGACUAUUAUUGGAAGCACCUUCAGUAAAUUGCGUUCAAAUCUAUUUUCUGCACAUUUGUGAUACUUUCAUGUGAACAACAUGUUUUCAGGGAUUUAUUUUCUCAUUUGAUAUCUAUCGAUGUUGCAACACAGUUAUUUUUCAAUCAAUUUAACUCUCAGCGGAAACUUAUUGGUCCCCUGUGGAGCCUAACCUUAUCAAAUAUGUCUCAACAUGUAGCUGUGAUAGUGACGGACCAGCAGAUGGAUGAUUUCCAGCCGUGAUGACUUUGUUGUGAAGCCUGUACGUAUCAUUUAUGGGGACACUCUUGCUGAAACCAGAUGGUUCAAGUGGACUUGGAUUUAGAGCUGAAAGGAAACGCUGUCGCUUCGGACAUUCACACUUCGGCCAGUCCUCUGUUGACAGAUCGAGGAGUGGACAGGGUGUCUAAAGCAGAAGAAGAUAUCAACAGCUGAGGUAGCUGAGAUGAAUGCUGACAGAUGCUCUCCUCUGUGACGAGACUGGUCCUUCACUAAAUGAGUGGAGAAAGUGACAAGUGCCUUUGCUGCUAGCGUUCACUUUGGUCGUGGUUAACUAGUUAGCAUGACAGCUAGCCAAAAUAUCAAACUUCUCGAAGCAAUAAGAACUUCAAUUAUUGUUACUAAAUUAAUUUUGAAAUUUCACUGUCAUAUUGAAAUAAAAAAAAAAAUUCUCAAACAAGUUUCUGUGCAAACUAUAAAGAAAAGCUUUUUAGAUUUUUUUUUCAACUGCAUGAAAUUUCACUGUGGUCAUUCGUUUUAUAUAUAUUUUUUUGUUUUUAUUUUUAAUUACUGCUGCAGCUGUGAUGUACAUGCAAGAGAUAGUUUAUAGGUAAUAAGGACAUCAUGUAUUUAUAAGAUGAUUAUUAACAUCAUUAUGCAUUAAUGAGACUAUAUAAGUGUUGAUGAAAGUAUUCUCGACAAGAACGUAUACCAAACUAGUUAACCGUUUGGCUGAAGAACAUUUAA